RNAcentral lists this ribosomal RNA (253 nucleotides) under uncultured bacterium. Its description in RNAcentral is "partial 16S ribosomal RNA". It matches the Rfam family "Bacterial small subunit ribosomal RNA", at positions 524 to 776 of the family's 1533-position model. The record is from RNAcentral.
GACAGAGGAUGCAAGCGUUAUCCGGAAUGAUUGGGCGUAAAGCGUCUGUAGGUGGCUUUUCAAGUCCGCCGUCAAAUCCCAGGGCUCAACCCUGGACAGGCGGUGGAAACUACCAAGCUAGAGUGCGUUCGGGGCAGAGGGAAUUCCUGGUGUAGCGGUGAAAUGCGUAGAGAUCAGGAAGAACACCGGUGGCGAAAGCGCUCUGCUAGGCCGCAACUGACACUGAGGGACGAAAGCUAGGGGAGCGAAUGGG